GACGAACGCUGGCGGCGUGCUUAACACAUGCAAGUCGAACGAGAAAGCCCGCUUCGGUGGGUAAGUAAAGUGGCGCACGGGUGAGUAACACGUGGGUAACCUACCUUCCAGAUGGGGAUAACACACCGAAAGGUGUGCUAAUACCGUAUAAUACUACAAUGUUAAUUAUUUUGUAGUCAAAGAUGGCUUCGGCUAUCGCUGGGAGAUGGGCCCGCGGACCAUUAGCCAGUUGGUGAGGUAAAAGCUCACCAAAGCUACGAUGGUUAGCUGGUCUGAGAGGAUGGCCAGUCACACUGGAACUGGAACACGGUCCAGACUCCUACGGGAGGCAGCAGUGAGGAAUUUUGCGCAAUGGGGGAAACCCUGACGCAGCAACGCCGCGUGAGUGAAGAAGGCCUUCGGGUUGUAAAGCUCUGUCAGAGUUGAAGAAACAGUUAUAGGUUAAUACCCUAUGACCUUGACGGUAAGCUCAAAGGAAGCACCGGCUAACUCCGUG
RNAcentral lists this ribosomal RNA (496 nucleotides) under uncultured bacterium. RNAcentral describes it as "bacterial SSU rRNA". It matches the Rfam family "Bacterial small subunit ribosomal RNA", at positions 28 to 507 of the family's 1533-position model. The record is from RNAcentral.